Molecule: non-coding RNA, 23 nt
Filed under: Cricetulus griseus (Chinese hamster)
Lineage: Eukaryota; Metazoa; Chordata; Mammalia; Rodentia; Cricetidae
Source: RNAcentral
AACUAGGAAAGGCUCAAGAUCAC